AUAUGAAGUCAGACCUGCCCAGUGAAAAUUUUUAACGGCCGCGGUACUCUGACCGUGCAAAGGUAGCAUAAUCAUUUGCCUUCUAAUUAGAGGCUAGUAUGAAUGGUUUAUCGAAAAUAUAACUGUCUCUUUAUUUAAUAUAUAAAAUUUUAUCUUUAGGUGAAAAAGCCUUAAUUCUAUUAAUAGACAAGAAGACCCUAUCGAGCUUUAAAAAAUUUAACAAAAUAAUAUUUAUUCAACUAAAAAAUUAAUUGUUAAAAAUUUUGGUUGGGGCAACCGAGGGGCAUACAAAGCCCCCUCUUAUUAUCAAAAACAAACAUGUAUUGAUCCAAAAAAUUUGAUUAAAGAAAAUAGUUACCGUAGGGAUAACAGCAUUAUCUUUUUUAAGAGUUCUUAUCGAAAAAAAGGUUUGUGACCUCGAUGUUGGACCAAAAUAUCCUAAAGAUGCAGAAGUCUUUAAGGGUUGGUCUGUUCGACCAUUAAAAUUUUA
This 490-nucleotide ribosomal RNA is filed under the name Benthomangelia cf. trophonoidea NP-2008. Its description in RNAcentral is "partial 16S ribosomal RNA". It matches the Rfam family "Bacterial large subunit ribosomal RNA", at positions 1845 to 2598 of the family's 2925-position model. The record is from RNAcentral. Lineage: Eukaryota; Metazoa; Mollusca; Gastropoda; Neogastropoda; Conidae.